AUAUGGAGCUUGCUUUAUAUAACUUAGCAGCGAACGGGUGAGUAACACGUAGAUAAUCUAUCCUAUACUGGGGGAUAGCCCGAUGAAAGUUGGAUUAAUACCGCAUAUAGCUAUAUAGUUGCAUGAUUAUGUAGUGAAAGAUUUAUUGGUAUAGGAGGAGUCUGCGGCACAUUAGCUAGUAGGUGAGGUAAAGGCUUACCUAGGCGACGAUGUGUAGCCGGUCUGAGAGGAUGAACGGCCACAAUGGAACUGAGACACGGUCCAUACUCCUACGGGAGGCAGCAGUGGGGAAUAUUGCACAAUGGGGGAAACCCUGAUGCAGCAACGCCGCGUGAGUGAAGAAGGUUUUCGGAUUGUAAAGCUCUGUUAGCAGGGAAGAGGAAGGACGGUACCUGCAGAGGAAGCCACGGCUAACUACGUGCCAGCAGCCGCGGUAAUACGUAGGUGGCAAGCGUUGUUCGGAAUAACUGGGCGUAAAGGAUGCGUAGGCGGUUAAACAAGUUAUAUGUUAAAUAUAUAGGCUUAACCUGUAGAAAGCAUAUAAAACUGUUUAACUAGAGUGCAGGAGAGGUAAGUGGAAUUCCUAGUGUAGCGGUGAAAUGCGUAGAGAUUAGGAAGAACACCAGUGGCGAAGGCGACUUACUGGACUGUAACUGACGCUGAGGCAUGAGAGCAUGGGGAGCAAACAGGAUUAGAUACCCUGGUAGUCCAUGCUGUAAACGAUGGGUACUAGGUGUGGGUUGUGAAUAACAAUUCGUGCCGUCGCAAACGCAAUAAGUA
This 780-nucleotide ribosomal RNA is filed under the name uncultured bacterium. RNAcentral's name for it is "bacterial SSU rRNA". It matches the Rfam family "Bacterial small subunit ribosomal RNA", at positions 71 to 866 of the family's 1533-position model. The record is from RNAcentral.